Molecule: transfer RNA, 84 nt
Filed under: Candidatus Pacearchaeota archaeon
Lineage: Archaea; Nanobdellati
Description: tRNA-Leu
Rfam family: tRNA
About the family: Transfer RNA (tRNA) molecules are approximately 80 nucleotides in length. Their secondary structure includes four short double-helical elements and three loops (D, anti-codon, and T loops).
Source: RNAcentral
GCGGGAGUGCCGGAGCGGUCAAACGGGACAGACUCAAAAUCUGUUGGCUUAGUGCCUACAAAGGUUCGAAUCCUUUCUUCCGCA